This 253-nucleotide ribosomal RNA is filed under the name Acidobacterium sp. RNAcentral's name for it is "partial 16S ribosomal RNA". It matches the Rfam family "Bacterial small subunit ribosomal RNA", at positions 524 to 776 of the family's 1533-position model. The record is from RNAcentral. RNAcentral also lists the same sequence under 1 other name. Lineage: Bacteria; Pseudomonadati; Acidobacteriota; Terriglobia; Terriglobales; Acidobacteriaceae.
UACGGAGGGGGCGAGCGUUAUUCGGAAUUAUUGGGCGUAAAGGGCGCGUAGGCGGCUCGAUAAGUCAAAGGUGAAAUCCCUCGGCUCAACUGAGGAACUGCCUUUGAUACUGUAGAGCUUGAGUCCGGGAGGGGGUAGCGGAAUUCCCAGUGUAGCGGUGAAAUGCGUAGAUAUUGGGAGGAACACCAGUGGCGAAGGCGGCUACCUGGACCGGAACUGACGCUGAGGCGCGAAAGCGUGGGUAGCAAACAGG